Molecule: long non-coding RNA, 306 nt
Organism: Ipomoea triloba (trilobed morning glory)
Lineage: Eukaryota; Viridiplantae; Streptophyta; Magnoliopsida; Solanales; Convolvulaceae
Exons: 3
Source: RefSeq, a predicted model, not a curated record
GAGACUUGAUCUCCCAUUUUCUUCAUUCCAUACCCAUUUGGCCGAAAUUUAGAGAGGAAAAAGGAGAGGAAAAUUCUUCAUCUUCUUCCUUGAGUUCAAGAAGCUUCAUAGCCAAUUUCUUCACAAGAUCAUCAUCUAUUCGGGAUUUUGGUGAAAGAAUUGAGUAAAGGAGAGGAUUUAGCUAUUGAUGUUUAAAGGGUUUGAAGGAAAAUCUAGCCUCUCAAGUUUCUUAUCAAGUGGCUAGAAUCCCAUUAAGUGUUGAUGAGAGUUUUGGUCUUCAAGGGUGAACAUGAAUAGGAUGGAAGU